Molecule: long non-coding RNA, 1987 nt
Filed under: Sus scrofa (pig)
Lineage: Eukaryota; Metazoa; Chordata; Mammalia; Artiodactyla; Suidae
Description: lncRNA (ENSSSCG00070006732.1)
Source: RNAcentral
CGUCCCGUCCGUCUGCUCGACGCAGUGAACCCCACCGGGUCACAGGUGCGUGUGGAGACAUGUGUGCCAUCAACACAAGGCACUUCAUGUACGGGAAACUGUGUGGAGCUCUGGGCACCCAGGCCGAGGAGGAGCCGCUACCCAGGUCAGAGGAGCCCACCACCCCCACCAGGCCAGCGUCCACCCCCCAAUGCCGGGGUCAGAGGGAGCCCCCAGGCCAGCGCCCACCCCCCCCAGUGCCGGGGUCAGAGGGAGCUUCCAGGCCAGCGCCCACCCCACAAUGCCAGAGUCAGAGGGAGUGCCCAGGCCAGCGUCCACCCCCCCCAAUGCCAGGGUCAGAGGGAGCCCCCAGGCCAGUGCCCACCCGCUCAGUGCCAGGGUCAGAGGGAGCCCCCAGGCCAGCGCCCACCCCCCCAGUGCCGGGUCAGAGGGAGCUUCCAGGCCAGCGCCCACCCCACAAUGCCAGAGUCAGAGGGAGUGCCCAGGCCAGCGUCCAACCCCCAAUGCCGGGGUCAGAGGGAGCCCCCAGGCCAGGGCCCACCCGCCCAGUGCCAGGGUCAGAGGGAGUGCCCAGGCCAGCGUCCAACCCCCAAUGCCGGGGUCAGAGGGAGCCCCCAGGCCAGAGUCCACCCCCCCAGUGCCGGAGUCAGAGGGAGUCCCCUGGCCAGUGCCCACACCCCUCAAUGGCCAGUCUUCGAGGGUGGCGCAAGGUGGGGACUCAGAGACCCAGGGUUCUGGGAGAGGAGCUGGGCCUGGCAGACGGCUCGCCCCAGCCCCUCAGCCGUCGGGUGGGAGGGGGGAGGAGCCACAUGAGCUGGCAGAGCUGCGGGGGGCCCCAAGGUCACCGCAGACACCACCCCUCAACGGUUCCCACUGUCUUCCUGGGCCGCUGCUGUCAAACCACCAAAUACCAUCAUCUUAGGAGCACAGCAAACACGUAUUUUAAUUUUCCCAAUAACGUGACCCCGCCUCGCCAACAGCAUCAGGUUUCAGGUAGUGUCACGUGUCUCCUGCAGCACAUCCACCUACCGAGACACCAGACGGCUCCGCUCGGCCAGCGGGGUUCUGGGGGGAGGGGCCUCCGUUUCACGGCUCUCUCUCCGGUGACCGCUAACCCACGGCCUCCAAGCGGAGCCGAGAUUCGAGUGACCGCUGUGCCCCGGCCCUCACGGGCACCUGGGGGGCCCCGCCUGGACCAGGGCUGCAUGGCGGCGAGAAGGCGAGUGUGCACACAUGACGCAGCACGUGGGAGCCUGUAUUUUGAGGGUGAGGCAGGGCAGGGGGCCAGGCUCUCCAGGCCCCCCGAGCUCUGGACAGAGUCGGUCUCUCUCCUUCUAGGUUUCCUUGCAGGGACUUUCCCCUCCUCCUCCCUUUAAAGGAAACCAGAAGAGCCUUGAAAAACAAGUUUUGCUGAAAUUCAAAACUGUCUUAGAGGUCCUGCUCCUGAACCCUGGAGCCUCGACAGCUGCCCCUAGAAAGACGCCCACUCGACAAGAGCUUGUCCCCCAGCCGAGGCCCCUCCCCCGGGCAGCCCUGGGAAGGGACAGACACCCCCAGGCCUUGGCUAUGGCCCGGACAAGCCCCCCCUAAGGCAGACGGGCCCUGCACCAGGAGGUCCCAGUGGGGACGGAGGGACCCGUGGGGCGGGGUGGGGGCUGACACGGCCUGAGGCCGAGGUCACGGGUGGGCGAGGCCAGAGGCAAGACUGGAAGCCUAGGCUCCUGCUGUGGCCCAGGCACUUUGCAAAUGCUCACUGGCCUGCCGCAGGCGGCGGCUUUGGCAGUGUGAACCGCCCCUCCACCAGGAGGGGGGCCGCGGGCAGCCCUGAGCCUCUGGGCUCACGAGGCCCGGCUCAGCCAGGGUCUCUGGUUACGGCAGAGAGCACGCGCCACCCCGGAGCAUCCGAACCCAGCGGUCAGGCCUUAAACACAAAGGCAAAGACUUUGAGUCAGUGCAGCACAGACACGGAUGUGGAAAAACGCCUCGC